Molecule: ribosomal RNA, 482 nt
Filed under: uncultured bacterium
Lineage: Bacteria
Description: partial 16S ribosomal RNA
Rfam family: Bacterial small subunit ribosomal RNA
Source: RNAcentral
AUUGAACGCUGGCGGCAUGCCUUACACAUGCAAGUCGAACGGUAACGGGCCUUCGGGUGCCGACGAGUGGCGAACGGGUGAGUAAUACAUCGGAACGUGCCCGACCGUGGGGGAUAACGAGGCGAAAGCUUUGCUAAUACCGCAUACGAUCUACGGAUGAAAGCAGGGGACCGCAAGGCCUUGCGCGGACGGAGCGGCCGAUGGCAGAUUAGGUAGUUGGUGGGAUAAAAGCUUACCAAGCCGACGAUCUGUAGCUGGUCUGAGAGGAUGAUCAGCCACACUGGGACUGAGACACGGCCCAGACUCCUACGGGAGGCAGCAGUGGGGAAUUUUGGACAAUGGGCGCAAGCCUGAUCCAGCCAUGCCGCGUGCAGGAUGAAGGCCUUCGGGUUGUAAACUGCUUUUGUACGGAACGAAAAGCCUUCUUUUAAUACAGGAGGGUCAUGACGGUACCGGAAGAAUAAGCACCGGCUAACUACGUG